UGGGGAAUAUUGGACAAUGGGCGAAAGCCUGAUCCAGCCAUGCCGCGUGUGUGAAGAAGGUCUUCGGAUUGUAAAGCACUUUAAGUUGGGAGGAAGGGCAGUAAGCGAAUACCUUGCUGUUUUGACGUUACCGACAGAAUAAGCACCGGCUAACUCUGUGCCAGCAGCCGCGGUAAUACAGAGGGUGCAAGCGUUAAUCGGAAUUACUGGGCGUAAAGCGCGCGUAGGUGGUUCGUUAAGUUGAAUGUGAAAGCCCCGGGCUCAACCUGGGAACUGCAUCCAAAACUGGCGAGCUAGAGUAGGGCAGAGGGUGGUGGAAUUUCCUGUGUAGAGGUGAAAUGCGUAGAUAUAGGAAGGAACACCAGUGGCGAAGGCGACCACCUGCGCUCAUACUGACACUGAGGUGCGAAAGCGUGGGGAGCAAACAGG
RNAcentral lists this ribosomal RNA (429 nucleotides) under Pseudomonadota bacterium. Its description in RNAcentral is "Proteobacteria bacterium partial 16S ribosomal RNA". It matches the Rfam family "Bacterial small subunit ribosomal RNA", at positions 355 to 776 of the family's 1533-position model. The record is from RNAcentral. Lineage: Bacteria; Pseudomonadati; Pseudomonadota.